Non-coding RNA from Podarcis lilfordi (Lilford's wall lizard), 76 nucleotides. The record is from the annotation of a GenBank genome assembly. Lineage: Eukaryota; Metazoa; Chordata; Lepidosauria; Squamata; Lacertidae.
GUACAUCACAUAGCUCAGUCGGUAAAGCAUGAGACUCUUAUUCUCAAGUUUGUGCGUUCAGGUUCCACGUUAGGCA